RNAcentral lists this ribosomal RNA (821 nucleotides) under Clostridium perfringens. RNAcentral describes it as "partial 23S ribosomal RNA". It matches the Rfam family "Bacterial large subunit ribosomal RNA", at positions 1525 to 2356 of the family's 2925-position model. The record is from RNAcentral. Lineage: Bacteria; Bacillati; Bacillota; Clostridia; Eubacteriales; Clostridiaceae.
CAGUGAGAGUAGGCAAAUCCGCUCUCAUAAUGCUGAGGCGUGAUGGGGAAGGUUCCACGGAACCGAAGUACAUGAUUCCACGCUGCCAAGAAAAGCGUCUAGAGAGAGAAGUAGUGCCCGUACCGCAAACCGACACAGGUAGGUGAGGAGAGAAUCCUAAGGCCGGCGGAAGAAUUACAGUUAAGGAACUCGGCAAAUUGACCCCGUAAGUUCGCGAGAAGGGGUGCCUACGAGAGUAGGCCGCAGAGAAUAGGCCCAAGCAACUGUUUAGCAAAAACACAGGUCUCUGCUAAAGCGUAAGCUGAUGUAUAGGGGCUGACGCCUGCCCGGUGCUGGAAGGUUAAGGGGAACACUUAGCGCAAGCGAAGGUGUGAACUUAAGCCCCAGUAAACGGCGGCCGUAACUAUAACGGUCCUAAGGUAGCGAAAUUCCUUGUCAGGUAAGUUCUGACCCGCACGAAUGGCGUAAUGACUUGGGCACUGUCUCAACUGUAAAUCCGGCGAAGUUGUAGUGCGAGUGAAGAUGCUCGCUACCCGCGAUUGGACGGAAAGACCCCGUAGAGCUUUACUGUAGCUUAGCAUUGAGUUUUGGUAUUGUCUGUACAGGAUAGGUGGGAGACUAGGAAACCAGGGCGUCAGCCUUGGUGGAGUCAACCUUGGGAUACCACCCUGACAGUACUGAAAUUCUAACUGGCGGCCAUGAAUCUGGUCACAGGACAUUGUUAGGUGGGCAGUUUGACUGGGGCGGUCGCCUCCUAAAAAGUAACGGAGGCGCCCAAAGGUUCCCUCAGAACGGUCGGAAAUCGUUCGAAGAGUGCAAAG